CGGUUGAUCCUGCCGGACCCGACUGCUAUUUGGGUGAGGAUAAGCCAUGCGAGUUGAAUGGGAAACCUAAAGUUCCCAUGGCAGACUGCUCAGUAACACAUGAUCAACUUACCCUAUAGAGAAAAAUAACCUCGGGAAACUGAGGAUAAUGUUUCAUAGUUGAAUUGGCUUGGAAAAGUUUUUCAACGAAAGGGUAAAAAAAAUGGUUUUUAUCUGCUAUAGGAUAGGAUCGUGGUCGAUUAUGGUUGUUGGUGAGGUAAUGGCUCACCAAGCCGGUAAUCGAUAGGGGCCGUGAGAGCGGGAGCCCCGAGAUGGGUACUGAGACAACGACCCAGGCCUUACGAGGCGCAGCAGGCGCGAAACCUCCGCAAUACACGAAAGUGUGACGGGGUUACCCAAAGUGUUCAAUAUUGAACUGUGGUAGGUGAGUAAUGUCCCCUACUAGAAAGGAGAGGGCAAGGCUGGUGCCAGCCGCCGCGGUAAAACCAGCUCUUCAAGUGGUCGGGAUAAUUAUUGGGCUUAAAGUAUCCGUAGCUAGCUUAGCAAGUCCUCUGGUAAAAUCGGGUGAUUCAAUCGUUUAUAUUGCUAGGGAUACUACUAGGCUAGAGGGCGGGAGAGGCCUACGGUACUACAGGGGUAGGGGUGAAAUCCUAUAAUCCCUGUAGGACCACCAGUGGCGAAGGCCGUAGGCUGGAACGCGCCUGACGGUGAGGGACGAAAGCCAGGGGAGCGAACCGGAUUAGAUACCCGGGUAGUCCUGGCUGUAAACGAUGCAGGCUAGGUGUUGGGGCGGCCACGAGCCGCCCCAGUGCCGUAGGGAAACCGUUAAGUCUGCCGCCUGGGAAGUACGGCCGCAAGGCUGAAACUUAAAGGAAUUGGCGGGGGAGCAC
This 890-nucleotide ribosomal RNA is filed under the name uncultured archaeon. Its description in RNAcentral is "bacterial SSU rRNA". It matches the Rfam family "Archaeal small subunit ribosomal RNA", at positions 5 to 879 of the family's 1478-position model. The record is from RNAcentral.